RNAcentral lists this ribosomal RNA (292 nucleotides) under uncultured bacterium. RNAcentral describes it as "partial 16S ribosomal RNA". It matches the Rfam family "Bacterial small subunit ribosomal RNA", at positions 333 to 622 of the family's 1533-position model. The record is from RNAcentral.
UAGUUCCUACGGGGCGCAGCAGUGAGGAAUAUUGGUCAAUGGACGCAAGUCUGAACCAGCCAUGCCGCGUGCAGGAAGACGGCUCUAUGAGUUGUAAACUGCUUUUGUACGAGGGUAAACGCAGAUACGUGUAUCUGUCUGAAAGUAUCGUACGAAUAAGGAUCGGCUAACUCCGUGCCAGCAGCCGCGGUAAUACGGAGGAUUCAAGCGUUAUCCGGAUUUAUUGGGUUUAAAGGGUGCGUAGGCGGUCGGAUAAGUUAGAGGUGAAAUCCCGAGGUGCAACUUCGGGAAU